Molecule: long non-coding RNA, 2662 nt
Filed under: Zea mays
Lineage: Eukaryota; Viridiplantae; Streptophyta; Magnoliopsida; Poales; Poaceae
Description: drought responsive lncRNA
Source: RNAcentral
GAGGUUGGGCCCAGAUUGACAGUUCUUCGGCUUCUUGGGCUGGGCCUACUCUGACCGCUCCCGCCCCACCACCGAUUCUCUUCCUCCGCUCCGUUCCCCACCUCCGUUGGUGCGUCCACCGAGGCGGCCGGGUCGGUUCGCCUCCGCCGCGGUCGAUCAAUGAAUCCAUGCCGGCCUCGUGGCCUGGUUCCUUGCUCUCCUUAUUCUAGGAAUGUGCAACUGAGUGACUGCUGAGCUGUAGAUAAAUGUGAGGAGUUGAGGACAUUAUUUACAAACAAAUGGUAUGUAGUAUUCCAGAUCUGAAGAACUAGACGGAGCAUAUACAACAGAAGUGAUAGUAUAUGAAUAAUCCAGUAUCAGUGGCUUCCACAUGCGUGAAGUUUAGGCGAAGGAAUAACCGAGGCAAGCUUUGCCCUGUAUCUUGCAGAGAGACUACACUGACUGAAUCUAGGACUUCUGGAUUAAUGGAAAGGCUUCUCACCACUUUGUUAGACUUGUCCUUCUCUGGUGUUAUACUGUCAUCUGAUAAAAUAAUUCAAUAGCAAGCUAAGCAACAGUAUACUUCAUACAUGGCAGAGCUCAACUUUGACUUCUCAGGGCUUAAAAUUGAAUUUAUAUGACAUAGCUUGUUUCAUUUCAGAUCAUCUGUUUUUCUUAAGUCAUCGCUUGUUUGAUUGGGUUUUCAGUUAGCAACAUCAUAGUUAGCAGCCCAAGAUUAAGAAUUGUAGUAUCUUCUGAAGAUUAAGACCUCAGUCAUUCUCCGAAAGUAUCAAUACUUGGAAGUAUGAAACUGUAGAUCAUGAACACAGUGUUUCGUCAAUGUUUUUUGAACAACUUAUGUUAUGUGCUUGAUUUUUAAAGGAGUCAGUUGACAACCAGUGUUCAUUUCUUUUCAGCUUUAAUAGUAAAUAACUGAUCAUUAGGUGCAAUUUUCUAUUCAAGCAACCAUGUUACAUGAUCAGUUGGUAUUUAUGGCACAUCAAUUUUGUUAGUUGCGAUGCUAGCAUUCUGAACUGUGUCAUCAUGGUUUGCUUUUAGAACUAUUAUACAUAGAUAAUAAUUGAUUUGGAGAACACUUCAAUUCCUGUAACAAACACGCAAGUUACGCUAGCAUGUCAUGUCAUGUGCUUAUUAAUUCAAAAACAAUAAUUGUGUGCAUGAACAAUAGAUCUGUACGGAUUGUUUCAAUCGUCAAAUCAUGAAGCAUCCGCUGCCGUGAUGGAAAUGCAUUGCAUUAUUCAUUUCCGAUUCUUUGACAUCAUACAUUCUAUACGUGUAUCCUUACUGUUUUUUAUUAAAAGUGGUGAUUAUAUAGAUCAAAAUAUAAGUAGUGCCGAUAUCAUCAUUUGUUGUCAGCUAACGGAUCAUUCCUUGUGCCUUCUAAAUAUGAUUGAAAUUGUCAAUAGCAAAAUGUUGAAUACCUAGCUAUUGAAAAUUUGCAUUGUCAAGGUUUCACGCAACAUAAAGAUGUGGUGCUAUUUUUUUUAGUUCUGUUCAUUUUUCAUAGCAAAGUUUGGAGUACUUUUAUUUUGUUCCCCUUUAUUCACCUUAAUCUAUGCAGAUUUAUUAUCUAUUUAUAUGCAGUAAUAACUAAAAACGACUGUGCUGCUAUGUUAUAAAAUGAUUCUUUGUACAAGUUAUUUAAUCUAUCAUCACAAUUUAUAUAAGGUAAUUUAUGGUCAUAUAGUCAUGUCUGUCAGAUACAGUAGUCAUUUCCUCUUUUGGCAUAUGAUAUUUGGUUCUUCAAUAGAGAACCAAUGAUAUGUAUACUUAUUAACCAGUCAUGGCUGCCGCUAGGCCGCUAGUACUUUGUUUACUUAGGAUUGAUUUUGAAGAAGAUUGGCAAUGCAAGUAAGCUUCCAACAGGUCUGAGGUAUGUGUCUAAUGAAAGCGUCUUUCUUCCAUUUAUUGGUUGAAUGCCCUUGUGUCAAAGCAUCCUAUGCAUAUCAACUUGCACUUACUGAAUAAGGGGAUAUACCUUAUUACAAUUCCAUGUCUAAAUUAAUGACACUAAAUGAAUUUUGAUUUAUGUAUCUUAGUUUGUAAAGUUGCCAUGUCGCUAAUAUUCGACAGCUGUUUUUGUUACAGCAUAUAAAAUGGACUUGAUGCAUCACUCUUUUUAGAAAGGUAAAACCUGAGCUCACCAAACACUUUCUAGCUCUGCCUUGAGGGAAGAAUAGCACCAUUGAAAGGACAAUGCAAACACCAAACAAAAAGGGCGAAGCGCAGCAAAGGGGCCGGAAAAGAAGUCCUCAACGAUUUUCUGUUAAUUGAAUGAUAUGGCAUCCUAGAGUUUGUUGAGAAACAUAGGUGCCAUUAUAUUUGUCUGAAGUCCCAAAGCUCUCAAUCUAUUAUGCCUACAAGGCUAGCUGCAUAUGCAUCAUUAGCCACUUACACUUCAAUUAUUCGUGACUAAGAAUUCAGGAAUCUUUUUCUUGAUUAUAUAGACUUCUGUACAAUCUGUCUCCCUUCUCUUAUUUACUUGGUUGAAAAGACCAAUAAUGGAUAAGAAUCUAUUAUUUGAGAGGUUAAGAUGUGAUCACAUAAGUCCCUGUAAUUGUUGCUCCUUGCUAACGUUCACUUAAUGAGAAAAAAUACUAAUAACAUAAAAUUUCUGCCACUUUACUUCACUCAUUGCUCAUUGAAGUAAAAAAUGUUGUGG